CCACCGCCAUCGUCUUCUCUUAACGUGGCUUAUACGCCUUUAGUCAAAGGCUGUGUCUAGUAGUAAGAGAAUGUCGCAGCUAACUGAAACCUGGACCGCCGAGUGACAGUCGACAGCACGUCGACCACCACGAGGAAAUCAAUCAAGUGGAUAAGAGAAGUAUUUGUCAUCAUCAUAGCAUCACCGGGCCUUCUCUUUCGUGAAUAUAAAUUAAAUGUCUAUUAAGGCUAGUUGCGUAAAUUUGAAGAGGAAAAUUAGACUUCACGAACAGUUAUACGUGAUGUAGAAGGAUUUUCUAAUGUUAUCUUAUUCUUAAAAAGGAACAUAAAAA
Acromyrmex echinatior (Panamanian leafcutter ant) is the source of this 331-nucleotide long non-coding RNA. The record is from RefSeq and is a predicted model, not a curated record. Lineage: Eukaryota; Metazoa; Arthropoda; Insecta; Hymenoptera; Formicidae.